UACACACCGCCCGUCACACCAUGGAAGUUGGCUGCACCAGAAGUAGGUAGUCUAACCGCAAGGGGGACGCUUACCACGGUGUGGUCAAUGACUGGGGUG
RNAcentral lists this ribosomal RNA (99 nucleotides) under uncultured bacterium. RNAcentral describes it as "partial 16S ribosomal RNA". It matches the Rfam family "Bacterial small subunit ribosomal RNA", at positions 1384 to 1482 of the family's 1533-position model. The record is from RNAcentral.